GAUGAACGCUGGCGGCGUGCCUAAUACAUGCAAGUCGAGCGAACGGACGAGAAGCUUGCUUUUCUGAUGUUAGCGGCGGACGGGUGAGUAACACGUGGAUAACCUACCUAUAAGACUGGGAUAACUUCGGGAAACCGGAGCUAAUACCGGAUAAUAUUUUGAACCGCAUGGUUCAAAAGUGAAAGACGGUCUUGCUGUCACUUAUAGAUGGAUCCGCGCUGCAUUAGCUAGUUGGUAAGGUAACGGCUUACCAAGGCAACGAUGCAUAGCCGACCUGAGAGGGUGAUCGGCCACACUGGAACUGGAACACGGUCCAGACUCCUACGGGAGGCAGCAGUAGGGAAUCUUCCGCAAUGGGCGAAAGCCUGACGGAGCAACGCCGCGUGAGUGAUGAAGGUCUUCGGAUCGUAAAACUCCGUUAUUAGGGAAGAACAUAUGUGUAAGUAACUGUGCACAUCUUGACGGUACCUAAUCAGAAAGCCACGGCUAACUACGUG
Molecule: ribosomal RNA, 497 nt
Filed under: uncultured bacterium
Lineage: Bacteria
Description: partial 16S ribosomal RNA
Rfam family: Bacterial small subunit ribosomal RNA
Source: RNAcentral